RNAcentral lists this long non-coding RNA (3399 nucleotides) under Sus scrofa (pig). RNAcentral's name for it is "lncRNA (ENSSSCG00050027513.1)". Lineage: Eukaryota; Metazoa; Chordata; Mammalia; Artiodactyla; Suidae. The record is from RNAcentral.
GUUUAUUACAGGAUAUUGAGUAUAGUUCCCUGUGCUAUACAGUAGGACUCUGUUGUGUAUCCAAGUUAUAUAUUAUCUCAAACUCCUAAUAUCUCCCUCCCUCAUCCCCUUUCCCCUUUGGUUACUGUAAGUUUGUUUCCUGUCUGUGAAUUUGUUUCCGUUUGGUAAACAGGUUCAUUUGUGUCAUAUUUUAGAUCCUACAAAUAAGUGAUAUCAAUAGUAUUUGUCUUUCUCUUUCUGACUUACUCCACUUAGUAUGAUAAUGUCUAGGUCCACUCAUGUUGCUGCAAAUAUAUUAUGUGAUAUAUACAGAUAUAUUACAUCUUCUCUGUCCAGUCCCCUGUUGGUGGACAUGGAGGUUGCUUCCAUGUCUUGGCUAUUGUAAAUAGUGCUGCAGUGAACAUUGAGAUGCAUGUAUCAUUUCAAAUUAGCAUUUUCUGGAUAUAUGUCCAGGAGUGGGAUUGCUAGAUCCUAUGGCAAUGUUAUUUUUAGUGUUUUAAGGAACCCUCCGUCCUGUUCUCUAUAGUGGCCACACCAAUUUACAUUCCUGCCAGCAGUGUAGAAGGAUUGCCUUUUCUCCCCACCCUCUCCAGCAUUUGUUUGUAGACUUUUUAAUGACGUUAAGGAGAAUUUCUUUGGCCUGACCUCUCCAUCUUUCCCCUCCUCUAUCGCUGCACCUCUCAAGGCACUCAAGGCCCAACUUACCCCAGACUUCCUCCCUCCCGGAAGGGUCUCCUGACCUCUCCAGCCUCAUAGCCUGCUCGCACUGACCUCCAACCAGCCUGCUGCAAAGCUCUAGGCUCACAUUUAGGGCGUUCCUGCCUCCUGUCAGUCACCGAGGCUGGUAAGUGCUCCCACAUGCCCACUCCCUGAAAGACAGACGAGGCAACCCCAUUGAAAGGGAAGACACAGGCUCAGCGAGGUUCCGUAACGUCCCCCAGAUUACCUAGCUGGUUAGUGAAAUAACCGAGACUUAAAUUCAAGACUGACAACCGACCUCAAAACCUUUGCUCUAAACCAGGAGCCAGCAAACUAUACGGGCCUGAAGGCCAAAUUCUGCCACUAUCUGUUUUUCUACAGCUUGAGAGCUAAAAAUGGUUUUCACAUGACCGGGGGCGGGGGGGGGAUCAAAAGAAACAUAAGAUUUUGGCACAUGUGAAAAUCACAGGAAACUAACAUUUCAGUGUCCAUUAAUAACGUUUUAUUGGACAUGGUGGUGUGGUGGUUGUUUUCAUCAUGGCAUGCAGCAGCUUGAUGUGGGAUCUCAGUUCCCAGACCAGGGAUUGAACCCAGGCUGCAGCGGUAAAAGCACUGAGUCCUAACCACUAGACCACCAGGGAACUCCCUUAAUAAAGUUUUCUUGGCGCACACCAACACCCAUUCAUUUAGAUCUCUUUGAUGGCUUUUUCGUGAACUACAGUGGCAGAGCUGAGUCGUAGUGACAGGGACCAGCCUACAAGGGUUCCCAUUUGGCCCUUCACAGAAGACCUUUGCCGACCCCUGCUCUGAAAGGCACCAUUGAUGAGCCACAGCUCCACGGAGUUCUGAACACCCUGCCUGCCUUGACAGGCUGCUGUCUUUCUCUGGGUGCUGAGCCCACUGUAGGAUCUCAGAGGGAAAACAAAAUAGAUUUUAGCCCCCUUUGGACUUCCAGGUACUAAAGAUGUGCACCAGAAGUUCCCGUCGUGGCACAGCGGAAACGACCCCGACUAGGAACCGUGAGGUUGUGGGUUCGAUCCCUGGCCUUGUUCAAAAGGGCUUUGUUGUUCACUUUUUAGAAAUGAUAUGCUAUAGAGGGUUUAGCAAGCAGAGAGUUAUGUUGUCCAUAACUUAUUAUGGCUAAUGUUACUUCUACACUAAUCUUGCCUUUUUUUGUUGAGGGGAAGUGGGAGAGGAGAGGCCGAGAGGAGGAGAAAUACUCGAAGUGCUACAGCAGUAGUUUUCAGACUUCGCCUCCCGGGUCAGGGUUGGGGCCUGAGAAUCUGCAUUUCGCACAGAGUCCCAGGCGGCACCCCUCUGAGGACUCCUCCACUCUGUCAAAAGGCCUAGAAGACCGCUGGGCAGCUAUAGGAGGUGGGGCCAGGGCUUCCUUGCCUGAGGGGGGGGCAGGGGGAGCACGGAAAGUUCUUACUGUCCCAGCAGACCCGUUUCUUGAAGGAAGGGACAGGCUCCCAGGACCCCAGGGAUCAGCCUGGUUGGCCCCAGACCCAGAAUGUAUGGGGGUGAAGGCCUAGUCAAAGGCUCCCCCCACCCCACCCCCCUCAGAGAGGGGACUGAGGCUGGAAAGGCGGGGAAGGGCUGGGUUUCCCCAGAUCAAAGCUGGUUCCCCAGCCUUUGAUUCGCAAACAAGCAGACUCUUUAGAGGCUGGCCCGGAGUUUGGGGCAGGCUGGCCUUGGGGCCUGGGGUGAGUGGUCAGAGGCCCCCAGCCCGCUCUCUUUUUGCAUAACAGCUUGGCUGUCUAACAAAAGGACAGUCCUUGAAAGGCCGUAUGGGGCUGUUAAAAGCUUCCGGCAAUGGUUUAAUUGGGGGCGAUUAAAGUGUCCACCCCAGGAAGGCCUGCCCUUCAAAGGCCAACCAGGCCUGGCUCCCCUGCCCUCAGCACCUCUCCCCUCGGCCACGCCCCCGGUGGUAGCCCUGCCCCCAGCCUCUCCCCUCCGCCCCCUCAGCUACCCUGUGGCUCCCUGCCGACUGAGGAAGUCAGGGACAGGGACCCUUUGGCCAGCCUGUCUGGGGGGAUUCCGUCCUGGCCCCUGGACCAUCAGGACCAUUUGUUCGCACAGUUUGGUCUCGUGGCUGAGUCAGUGUGGGAGGUGGGGAAGGCUGAGUCGGAGACAGAAAGGGCCCCAGACUGGUCCACCCGGCUCACUCUGGCUGCCUCAGGACACCUAGCCUGCCUGGUCUCUGGCCCCUCCUUGAGCUCCCUUACCAGCCCCUCUCCCCAAGGCCCUGGCCCAUCUGCAACUUCAUGGUCACCGUUGGGGGACCCACACAUUAAUCUUCCAGACAUGACCUGAGAGGUGCUGGGGACUCAGAGGUGACCAGACAGGAACCAUGACUCAUAAAGGUGCCGGAUAAGUGAACAGGCAGAAGCAACAGGGCGCAAUAUAGGUAAAAUGAGGUGAGCUAUAAGCAGGGCCCCUGCCUCUGGUGGGGCUCAGGGAGCAGAGGGGCAAGCAACAUGACCUUCUGGAAGCAACAGAGCCUACAGUGAGAACAGGGCCACUCAGUCUGGCUCAUUUGCCAACCAUGAUGGGAAGAGCUACACCACAGCUGGUUUCACUAAAAGACCUGACCCACCCAACCAGUUGGAGCAUCCUUGGAAGGGGAAGUGGGUAGAGGUUCCAUCAAGUCUCGAAAUCAUUGUUCUGUGGGUAUCUGGCUCAGACAACUCCCCAGAG